Molecule: ribosomal RNA, 1068 nt
Filed under: Salmonella enterica
Lineage: Bacteria; Pseudomonadati; Pseudomonadota; Gammaproteobacteria; Enterobacterales; Enterobacteriaceae
Description: partial 23S ribosomal RNA
Rfam family: Bacterial large subunit ribosomal RNA
Source: RNAcentral
AGACCCGAAACCCGGUGAUCUAGCCAUGGGCAGGUUGAAGGUUGGGUAACACUAACUGGAGGACCGAACCGACUAAUGUUGAAAAAUUAGCGGAUGACCUGUGGCUGGGGGUGAAAGGCCAAUCAAACCGGGAGAUAGCUGGUUCUCCCCGAAAGCUAUUUAGGUAGCGCCUCGUGAAUUCAUCUCCGGGGGUAGAGCACUGUUUCGGCUAGGGGGCCAUCCCGGCUUACCAACCCGAUGCAAACUGCGAAUACCGGAGAAUGUUAUCACGGGAGACACACGGCGGGUGCUAACGUCCGUCGUGAAGAGGGAAACAACCCAGACCGCCAGCUAAGGUCCCAAAGUCAUGGUUAAGUGGGAAACGAUGUGGGAAGGCCCAGACAGCCAGGAUGUUGGCUUAGAAGCAGCCAUCAUUUAAAGAAAGCGUAAUAGCUCACUGGUCGAGUCGGCCUGCGCGGAAGAUGUAACGGGGCUAAACCAUGCACCGAAGCUGCGGCAGCGACGCUGAUGCGUUGUUGGGUAGGGGAGCGUUCUGUAAGCCUGCGAAGGUGGCCUGUGAGGGUUGCUGGAGGUAUCAGAAGUGCGAAUGCUGACAUAAGUAACGAUAAAGCGGGUGAAAAGCCCGCUCGCCGGAAGACCAAGGGUUCCUGUCCAACGUUAAUCGGGGCAGGGUGAGUCGACCCCUAAGGCGAGGCCGAAAGGCGUAGUCGAUGGGAAACGGGUUAAUAUUCCCGUACUUGGUGUUACUGCGAAGGGGGGACGGAGAAGGCUAUGUUGGCCGGGCGACGGUUGUCCCGGUUUAAGCGUGUAGGUGUGUGUUCCAGGUAAAUCCGGUUCACUUUAACACUGAGGCGUGAUGACGAGGCACUACGGUGCUGAAGCAACAAAUGCCCUGCUUCCAGGAAAAGCCUCUAAGCAUCAGGUAACAUCAAAUCGUACCCCAAACCGACACAGGUGGUCAGGUAGAGAAUACCAAGGCGCUUGAGAGAACUCGGGUGAAGGAACUAGGCAAAAUGGUGCCGUAACUUCGGGAGAAGGCACGCUGACACGUAGGUGAAGUGAUUUACU